RNAcentral lists this ribosomal RNA (497 nucleotides) under uncultured bacterium. Its description in RNAcentral is "partial 16S ribosomal RNA". It matches the Rfam family "Bacterial small subunit ribosomal RNA", at positions 28 to 507 of the family's 1533-position model. The record is from RNAcentral.
GACGAACGCUGGCGGCGUGCCUAAUACAUGCAAGUUGAGCGCUGAAGGUUGGUACUUGUACCAACUGGAUGAGCAGCGAACGGGUGAGUAACGCGUGGGGAAUCUGCCUUUGAGCGGGGGACAACAUUUGGAAACGAAUGCUAAUACCGCAUAAAAACUUUAAACACAAGUUUUAAGUUUGAAAGAUGCAAUUGCAUCACUCAAAGAUGAUCCCGCGUUGUAUUAGCUAGUUGGUGAGGUAAGGGCUCACCAAGGCGAUGAUACAUAGCCGACCUGAGAGGGUGAUCGGCCACAUUGGGACUGAGACACGGCCCAAACUCCUACGGGAGGCAGCAGUAGGGAAUCUUCGGCAAUGGACGAAAGUCUGACCGAGCAACGCCGCGCGAGUGAAGAAGGUUUUCGGAUCGUAAAACUCUGUUGGUAGAGAAGAACGUUGGUGAGAGUGGAAAGCUCAUCAAGUGACGGUAACUACCCAGAAAGGGACGGCUAACUACGUG